Daphnia pulex (common water flea) is the source of this 314-nucleotide long non-coding RNA. RefSeq lists it as uncharacterized. The record is from RefSeq and is a predicted model, not a curated record. The transcript is spliced from 3 exons. Lineage: Eukaryota; Metazoa; Arthropoda; Branchiopoda; Diplostraca; Daphniidae.
CAAAAGGGAAGAAACUUAUCUCAUCAUCUUAUCUGUUUGAUAAAAAGGAAUCUGUUUCUCAUCAAGCAACAGUUUCAAUACGUGUAACUGAUGCUGUUGUUGUUGAAGUUGAUGAGAAUCGGGGUGACAAUGACUCAACAAGACCUGGAACUUCAAAACAAUUUUCGAGACCAACAACUAGUUCUGUAGAACCUCCACUGUCUACGCUUCUAUUAAGGCUUGAAACACUUACUAGAAAAGUAAUUAGAAUGGACUCAAAACUGGAUUACAUUAUCAAAGGUAAUUAUUUGCAAAAUUUUUCUAAACAUAUGGGC